AUAAACUUUUGUACNGUGAAACUGCGAAUGGCUCAUUAAAUCAGUUAUCGUUUAUUUGAUUGUGCCCUUAYUACUUGGAUAACCGURGUAAUUCUAGAGCUAAUACAUGCAAAAAAUCCCDACUYCGGAAGGGAUGUAUUUAUUAUAUUAAAARCCAAUGCGUUUMACGACNCUYUUCUGYGAUUCAUAAUAAUCUGUUCDAWUCGCAUGGCCCUCGUGCCGGCGAUGUUUCUUUCDAGUUUCUGCCCYAYCAACUUWCGAUGGUAAGGUAUUGGCUUACCAUGGUURCMACGGGYAACGGACAAUAUANAGGUUCGAUUCCGGAGAGGGAGCCCGACAAACGAGCUACCACACUCCAARGAAGGCAGCGAGGCGCGCAAAUUACCCAACUCCCGAUUCGGGGAGGUAGUGACAAUAAAUAACGUUGCAGGCGCCAACGGCUUCUGCAGUCGGAAUGAGAUACAAUAUAACAYCCUUAACGAGGACACAW
RNAcentral lists this ribosomal RNA (490 nucleotides) under uncultured eukaryote. RNAcentral describes it as "partial 18S ribosomal RNA". It matches the Rfam family "Eukaryotic small subunit ribosomal RNA", at positions 65 to 550 of the family's 1831-position model. The record is from RNAcentral.